UGGGAAUAUUGCGCAAUGGGCGAAAGCCUGACGCAGCAACACCGCGUGAGGGAUGACGGCCUUCGGGUUGUAAACCUCUUUCAGCUCCGACGAAGCGAAAGUGACGGUAGGAGCAGAAGAAGCACCGGCUAACUACGUGCCAGCAGCCGCGGUAAUACGUAGGGUGCAAGCGUUGUCCGGAUUUAUUGGGCGUAAAGAGCUCGUAGGCGGUUCGGUAAGUCGGGUGUGAAAACUCUGGGCUCAACCCAGAGAGGCCACUCGAUACUGCUGUGACUAGAGUGCGGUAGGGGAGCGGGGAAUUCCUGGUGUAGCGGUGAAAUGCGCAGAUAUCAGGAGGAACACCAGUGGCGAAGGCGCCGCUCUGGGCCGUAACUGACGCUGAGGAGCGAAAGCAUGGGUAGCAAACAGGAUUAGAUACCCUGGUAGUCCAUGCCGUAAACGUUGGGCACUAGGUGUGGGUCUCAACCAACGAGAUCCGCGCCGUCGCUAACGCAUUAAGUGCCCCGCCUGGGGAGUACGGUCGCAAGACUAAAACUCAAAUGAAUUGA
This 548-nucleotide ribosomal RNA is filed under the name uncultured bacterium. RNAcentral's name for it is "bacterial SSU rRNA". It matches the Rfam family "Bacterial small subunit ribosomal RNA", at positions 356 to 913 of the family's 1533-position model. The record is from RNAcentral.